RNAcentral lists this long non-coding RNA (310 nucleotides) under Mus pahari (shrew mouse). RNAcentral's name for it is "lncRNA (MGP_PahariEiJ_G0005701.1)". Lineage: Eukaryota; Metazoa; Chordata; Mammalia; Rodentia; Muridae. The record is from RNAcentral.
GUGAAACUCUUUAAUGGUGCUAAACAGGGUAUGCCCCAGCAACACCGUCACCCCCAGAAUAUUCUCUUGCGUCGAAGAAGUAUUUUAGGGCUUUGUUCAGGGGUUCUGCCCCGAAUUGCAGAUUACUACACCUACAGGGCCUCCUGCCUCAGACGGAGUUGGCAACAAGCAACUAACACUUGCAAGGAAACCCAUCAACCUCCGGGGAGCUCAGCUGCCACCACGCACGACAGCCACGACUUAAUAAAGGCGUCCUAAGCAGAGGAGGUCUUCUUGCUGGUCUGGAACUUAAAAGCCCCAAGCUCCUGCC